GGAAUCUUCCACAAUGGGCGAAAGCCUGAUGGAGCAACGCCGCGUGUGUGAUGAAGGGUUUCGGAUCGUAAAACUCUGUUGUUAGAGAAGAACAAGGGUGAGAGUAACUGUUCACCCCUUGACGGUAUCUAACCAGAAAGCCACGGCUAACUACGUGCCAG
Molecule: ribosomal RNA, 161 nt
Filed under: uncultured bacterium
Lineage: Bacteria
Description: partial 16S ribosomal RNA
Rfam family: Bacterial small subunit ribosomal RNA
Source: RNAcentral